UACGUAUGGAGCAAGCGUUAUCCGGAUUUACUGGGUGUAAAGGGAGCGCAGGCGGUCAUGCAAGUCUGAUGUGAAAACCCGGGGCCCAACCCCGGGACUGCAUUGGAAACUGUGUGACUUGAGUGUCGGAGGGGUAAGUGGAAUUCCUAGUGUAGCGGUGAAAUGCGUAGAUAUUAGGAGGAACACCAGUGGCGAAGGCGGCUUACUGGACGACAACUGACGCUGAGGCUCGAAAGCGUGGGGAG
This 245-nucleotide ribosomal RNA is filed under the name uncultured Lachnospiraceae bacterium. Its description in RNAcentral is "partial 16S ribosomal RNA". It matches the Rfam family "Bacterial small subunit ribosomal RNA", at positions 524 to 768 of the family's 1533-position model. Lineage: Bacteria; Bacillati; Bacillota; Clostridia; Lachnospirales; Lachnospiraceae. The record is from RNAcentral.